Molecule: long non-coding RNA, 8078 nt
Organism: Symphalangus syndactylus (siamang)
Lineage: Eukaryota; Metazoa; Chordata; Mammalia; Primates; Hylobatidae
Source: RefSeq, a predicted model, not a curated record
GUAGUAACAGCUGUGCUUGGCCUUCAUGGGACAGGAAGCUUGCUUCUCACAACCAAAGAAAGCCCAGUGGGGCAAGCUCCCCUUCUGCCUCCAAGCAGGUAGCGUGAGGACAAGAUAAGCAUUAAUACUGCGUGGGGAAAACAGCCAAUACUAAGUGAGGCAGACAUAACUAAAUACGGCUCAGUCAUUCCAUGGAUACUAAAACAACAGUUAAAUAAGACACAGAGAGGUGCAGAAAUCUAUGACACAGUGAGUGAAAAAAACAAGUUAUAAAAUAAUGCAUAAGGAAGAGGCUCAUUUAAAUAUAAAUACCAUUCUUUCCAUAUAUUUCUGGAUGUACCUAAAUGGUGUAUAGAAAAAAGGUUUAGAAGAUCACAAACCAAAUUAAUAAGAGUUGUUAUUUCUGAGAAGGUGUAGGAGUUUGGCUUUUUGGCUUGACUGCUUCUCCGUUUUGAGCAGGGCAGAGGAUGCACUGGCAGGUCCCAGGGUUGGAGAUGCAUGAACAGACUUUCCACCCUGGUCUCAGAGAAGUGAGCACCUUGCAAUUUCCUCCAAGGGUUCCCCUCCUCAGGUCGUGGUCCCACAAAUAAGCUGAUAAGGCAGGGGUGAGUGUUUGCUGCAUAUCCAGUUGGACUUGAAGCAAUUUUAGGAGAAAACCUACAGGAAGAAAAGUCCUUGGUCUUUGUCCAUGAAAGAAGGACUGAUAGUAAACAGACAGCAGGGCUGGAGAACAAAAGCCUCAAGGUAGGGUGAUGGUGCCUCAGAGCCGCUAGGGGAUAGAGUGAGGACUAGGUCAAGCUAUCAUCGUAGUUAUUAACAGUAGUUAUUUCCAAGAAGGUGUAGGAGUUCAGUCAGUGGGAAUGAAUGAAGGAAACUUUUGCUUUUUAUUAUAUCUAUUUUUGUAUUGGGUGUGUCUUUUAUAUGCAAACAUGUUCAUGUAUUACUUGCAUAAUUAAAAAGCAAAACAAAAUAAACAAAGCUAAAGUGAAGUUAUUGCACCAUUAUGGUGCUUGAACAACUCAGUGGUGUGUCAGGAACCCUUGGAAGAAAAUAUGUUCCUCCCCGCAUUGAAACGGAGGGCUAACCAGAUUGAGCCUGCCGAACUUCACCUGCCUUGCUGGCUGUAAUUGCUUACUUCUAGUCUUAAAACUCCCACUAGCUUCUUUAUAGAUAACAUUCCUGACUGUGGGUCACUGACUUAACAGGUGCUUAUAGUUGUUUUUCAGGAACUGGGGGCAGCUGUUGUCCAGUUCAAGCCAGUUGAGACCACUGACCCUUCAACUGGGCCUGUGCAGGUGCCCAAAGAGUGUCCUUUUGAUGUCAGAGAGCCAAAAACUCCACCCUUAGAUCAUGCUAACGCUGCUAUUUUCUGCACAUGGGUCUUAAGAAGAGCCAUGUAGCUUGAUGAUGUACCUGCCAGUUAACUUUUGUACCUGCCAGUUAACUUUCCCCAUACUUUAGACCAUGCUGCCUACUUUCCCAUAAGUACCCCCAAGCCUUAUUUCUAGAGAGGUGGAUUUGGGAUUUAUUCUCCUGUCUCCUUGCUCUGCAGCCUUGUGAAUAAAAAUAUUUUCUCUUUUGCAAAACCUGUUGCUGUAGUGAUUGGCUUGCUGCGUGCUGGCAGAACAAAUCUGGUCCGUAACAAUCUGUGACAGCACUAUGUGCACCUUCCCGUUGUAUCAUGGCUGUGUGCAAAUCUUUCAUAGCUCUUACCCAUUCUAAGGCAAAGGUUUGUCUCUUUGCUGUGCUGUGAGUGUGUUGUGCCUCUAGCACAUAGCACACAGUGCUCAGCAUUGACUAAGGAUGAUUCAGUGAGUGAGCGACAUGAAGCAAUGCUAAACUCAAGGACUGAGGGCUGAGAGGCACCAACCUCAAAAGGCUCUCUGUGAUCGACAGCACAUUGCCAAAUUGUCACACCAAAGAGCCUUGUUUAUAAUUUAUCAUUGCUUGGUGUCUGGGCUCUUCAAACAAGAUUUUAUAGCCCUCUACCUUUCCACGUACUUAAAAAUAUAUAUGAUCUGCAAAGGAAAGUAUUCUUUCAAAAGGAAUUCCGGUUUCAAAGGCCUGGGCCUGUGGAGUUGUCUUGGUAUAUCUUUUUAUCUUUCACAUUUUCCUAUCUUAUCUAGUACAUCAAUGCAUCCCUGUCUGUUUCUUUAUUUCCAUACUCUAUGCCACUUCUCUCUCACUUUAUGCCCCGUGGGUGACAAGGGCGCCUCAAUAUUUAUAGGUGGACAGAGCCCCAACCUAUCCCCUCCAGUGGCAAACUGCCUCUCCUCCUACCCAGUGAGCUGGAGCACACACUCAUUUUCUGUCUUCUAUGAGGUGGAAACUUCUAAAAAGUCCUGUGCAUAUUAAGAUGUGACCACCCCGGGGUACACCUGACCUCCCUCCCUGCUCGUGUGCUUUCUGUCCACUGGAGGCAGCAGAGGAACCUUCUGAAAUGCGGCUUUGCUCUCCUGCAUUUGCCCUCUGCCUGCCUGAACACUGAUGUGAAGACACUGCAGGGUCCUUCAUCUGUUUUUCUCCCAGCUGCACUCAAUACCCACCAUCCAACCGCUUGAAUGGCCAACACUAUCAUUCCUAUUCCCUGUGCUUGGCACAUGCUGCUUUCAUCCAUCAGAAAGCCCCUUGGUUCUCUCUUCAUUUUCAUAAAGUCUUCCCUAAUGCCGUCUUUCCACAGUGAGCUCCACCUCACAAUCCUCACAGCCCAGGCUGACUUUCAGGUGAUGCAAACUCAGAGGACUUUAGGGUCUGUCUGGGUAAUUUAAUGAGUGAAAUUAUCAGACAUUACACAACAAGGAGGAGCUGGGACUAUGCUGUGUGGAAAAGUGUGUGCCCUGGGUGAGGACUCUUAAAUCUAUGUUCUUGUUAAUGCCAACACUGCCUCAUAGAACACCAGUUUUCCAUGUGCAUAAACAAUUACCUGGAAUCUUCAGCCAGGCGCCAUGGCUAAUGCCUGUAAUCUCAGCACUUUGGGGGGCUGAGGUCGGCGGACUGCUUGAGCCCAGGAGUUGGAGACCAGCCUGGGCAACAUAGCGAAACCUCCUCGCAACUAAAAAUACAAAAAUUAGCUGGGCGUGGUGGUGUGUGCCUGUCAUUCUAGCUACUCAGGAGGCUGAGGUACCAGAAUUUCUUGAACCUGGGAGAUGGACGUUGCAGUAAGCCAAGAUCAUGCCACUGAACUCCAGUCUGGAUGACAGAGAGAGACUCUGUCUCAAAAAUAAAGAAAAAAAGGAAUCUUCUGUGUUCUGCAACAUUUCUUAUGACAUGUGUAAAAUCCCUAAUAGCCUGUGGUGUGCAGUUCUUCGUCAGCCCCCACAACACACAAAAUAUGGCAAAACACAAAAUGCAUGCUUAAAAAGUACUAGACAAACUAAACUGAAAAUAUUUUAAUCCAGUACUUCUAUUGAGUUAGCAAAUAAAUGACAACAGAUUUUGAAAAAACCUGAAAAUAAAUCCAGUCAUUCAUUGAUUCAAAACUGUUUAGUGGCUGGGCACGGUGGCUCACGCCUGUAAUCCCAGCACUUUGGGAGGCCAAGGUGGGUGGAUCACCUGAGGUCAGGAGUUCGAGACCAGCCUGGCCAACAUGGCAAAAAUCAGUCUCUAUUAAAAAUACAAAAAUUAGCUGCGCAUGUGGUGCACGCCUGUAAUCCCAGCUACUUGGGAGGCUGAGGCAGGAGAAUUGCUUGAACCCAGGAGACGGAGGUUGCAGUGAGCCGAGAUUGCGCCACUGCACUGCAGCCUGGGCAAGACUCUGUCUCAAAACAACAGAGCAAGACUCUGUAUCAAAACAAAACAACAGAAUGAGACUCUGUCUCAAAACAACAGCAACAAAACUGUUUACUGAGUAUCUUCUAUUUGCAAAUCACUGCUGUAGGUGCUGGAAAUACAACGUACAGAAGAGCGAAAGCCCCUGCAUUCAUGGAGCUUACAUUCUCCUGGGAAGGAGGAAUGAAAACACAAAGAAAUAAAUAUAGAAGAAUAUAUCAGAAUGAGGAGACUAGGCUGGAGGCGGAUGUGGAGGGGAUGUUUUAGGAAGGGUCAAGAAAAGGACCGGUGAACAAUGAAUAAAAAAGGGCCAUGUCACUAUCUGAGGCAGGUGCAGUGCAGGCAGAAGAAUGUUGUGCAAAGGUUUUGAGGCAGGGAUAACCCUGGUGUGUGUGACAACUAUCACCAAGGAAGCCCCAUGGCUAUAACAGAGAGGGCAGAGGGAAAUGAGGUGGGAGUUGUGGAUGAGGUUAGACCACUGGGGACUUCACACUUAAGGACCUUGAAUUUGUUUCUGGGUGGGUUGAGAAGCCAUUGGAGGUUUUUUUUUUUUUUUUUUUUUUUUUUUUUUUUUUUUUACAGAAGAGUGAUACAAUUUGUUUUAUGCUUUGAAAGGCUCACCAAAGCUGUUGUCUGAUGAAUGGAAUGAAGAAAGCACAGUGCAGUGGGAGGACCCUAGGCUAAAGUCCAGUUUCCUUGGUGCCAGGCCUGGCUUGUUCACUAACUUGCUUGGGUGAUGUUGAGCAGGACACUUAACUCUUGGCUUGUUGGGUGUCGUUAGGCAGAACACUUAACUCUGGGCAGUUCUGUGCCCCUCUGUAAGUAUGAAGGAGCAACCUUGGAUUGUGGAUCUUCAGAUAAUACCGGCUCCAACAUUCUGAAUCUUGGUAUUGAGCAUUUAACCACACCUAACAGAUACACCACCAGUGACAGCAAGUAUUUAAUCAUUGUCACAGAUGGCUGGGCUGACAUGUGGCAUGAAAGACUUAUGAAAGUUCUAAAGGCAGGCAAGAAUGGUUUAUUUUAUAUGACUCACUGUUAGAAGAGGAAUCCCUUUCCCCAUCCCUAGAUGAGCAUGGCAUACACCAAAGGCUUGGAAGCAGUGGUGGUGGGGGUAUUGCUGGUGGCCAGAAAGGCAGGCAGAAAAGGAGAGACACUUCCUCUUAUCGACAUCUUUGCCAAGCACCUGCCCUUCCCAGAAGUUCAAACAGGUCAUGUCAGGUUUAUAGCUCAGGCUCAAAGCUUUGAAAAGACUCACCAUACGAUAUGAAAUGAUCAGAGAGAGAGGCAAUUUAUUAUACCUGGGAAAAUUCAAUUGCUAAUACCUGUCAGAAGUUUAUUCACAUGUUGUCAAUGCAGUGAUGAUAAGUCAGAAUUUACUGCUGUGUGGAUGCAGCUAGGGCCAUCUGUAAAUUUCUACGUGUCCUUCACACAGGCUUUCCAUUUCCUGGCAUCUCCAAGUGGAUGCUUCUAAAACAUUAUCAUCCUCCUGAACUGUCAUGCAUGUGUGAAGGUUUUCUAGCAACAACAGCCAACCACUCUCUAGCUAGGGUAGGUAUUUGCAGCCAAAUAAAUCUUUAAUUAUCUACAACAACAUCCCAGCCAAGAAUGCCCAGCAAUCAGCCCACGUGCAAUUAUUAAUCAUGUGUAAUCAGGCUUAUACUGUGCUAUGUAAAGGAUUUUGUAGGAUUGAAUGCACAUAAAUUAUCCCUUUCCUCAAGGUAAAUACAUCUGUCUUUUCAAUAUUAGCAUUCUGUCCAUCAAAGGAUGAAUAAAUAUAGUUUUCUUUUAAAAUACAGACAUGUUCCACUAAAGCAAAAACAGUUGGAUUUCUGCUUCAAAACCCAAUAAUAACUCCCAGUUGGCUAUGGAGUAAGAUCCAAAGUCCUGGGAAUGUCACUCAUAGCCCUUUAUAGUCUCACCCAACAUUCAGCCCCUGACUCAUUUCUCCCAUUCAUCAGAAUGCACCUUAAGCUUGAACUAAGCAAGACAGCUUGCUGUUUUCAAACACAGUUCUUGUGUAAUACAGGAUGGUCCUCCGAUAGUAAGGAAAUGAAUGCAGCAUACAGGGGUACAUCCAGAUCCUGAGUCAGACAUGAGCACUUCAAAUGGGGGACUAAUUUACUCAUUCAUUCACUCAUUUCUUCAAUAAUUUUAUCAGCCACUGUGUUAGGAUGGUAUGACAGAAGGGUAUGAACAAAAAUGAGCAAGAUAUAUCCUAAUCUCAAGGAGAUCACACUCCCUUUGGUGAAAACACACAGAAUUACUGAUAUUUGACUGUUUUUGACAUACAAGACAGGGCAUAUGGUUCAACCUAAUAGCUAUGCCUAAUAUCAACUAUUGCCAGGUGAUUUCUCAACUGAGGACCAGAAAUUGUCCCUGCUUAGAAUUAGAGAGCAACCAAAGGGCAGUCCGAAUCACAAUGGGCUUAUUGAGUUCCAUAUCACAUACAGACAACCUCUUUACAGGACCAAGACAUCACACUAACAUGGACAUGGAAUUUACUAGUAAUAUAAGCACUGACUUUUCUAAAGUAUGGGGAGGGGAAAAAAGACCUGAGACUCUAGGUGAUGUCAUUGAUAGGGCUCAAGGUUUAUGACCUUUAUAUGCCUCAAAUAAAAGCAAAUGUCUAAAGGGUGGGCACACUGAGGUCUGGGUACAAGGUAGCCCAGAUACAAAUUACACCUCAAGAUUGACUGCCAUAUUCGUGCAAAUGCAAGCCAAAAUAAUAAUAUCCCAUUCCAUUCAGACAGAGGGAAAUAGGGAUCAUAGCACAAUGAUUGUUCAGGGAAUACUUAUCUCCAAAUCUGGCUGGGCAGAAAUCCUAAUAGGACUUAGGAAACAAAAACCAAUUUUUGAAGGCCCAAGUUGAUCAUAAAGAUCCAGGCAUGGGUGAUUUUUAAUUAUCAUCAAUAGGUGGGGAAAUAUCCAUAGCUGCCUUCCUCUGUUCCGCACAGAUAUAUCUCAUGGACACUGAAGCACUCCUCUGCCAAAGAUUCAUGGGGAGAAGCUAACAAUCACCUUGGACCCAGCUUAGACAAACCUUCAGUAUAAGCACAAAAUUGAAGCUCUUCUGCAAGACACAGCCAGAAACCCAGCAUUUACUGUUGUUCUAGGCUCUCCCUUCUAGGCUAACCUCCUUUCUUUCUGUAUGGAUUUGCCUAUUUUAGACAUUUCAUAUAAAUAUAAUCAUACAAUACACAGCCUUUUGUGUAUGGCUUCUUUCACUUAUCAUAAUGCUUUCGGGAUUCAUCCAUGUUAAAGCACACAUCAGUACUUCAUUCCUUUUAAUGGUCGAAUCCACUUCCACAUGGGAUUUAGGCUGACUUCAGAAUAUCCACUUCUAAUGUGGCCCCUCAGUCCUUCUAAUAGUGAAGAAUCCCAAAAACAAAUUCAGGGAGGUGCUCCAAUCUGAAGGUACUACAAUACAUCCAGUCAGUGUCAGGAACAACCAGAUCCUGGUUGGGUAGUAUGUCAUUUCUGAAAUCCACUUCCCACCUGACUUUUUUGAUAUUCUCUAGAAACAUGAUAACCCAUUUUAUACUUCCAUAGAACAGAACACCUGGAGUUGCGAGGGCUAAAAGGAGUCUGGAAGUGGGCGGUUCCAUUCAGUCAAUCAAGAUCUUCUUUGCUAAUUUUCCUGACAUAAACAAACUUAAAUAUUCUCUAACAUUUGUUUAUAGCACAUAAUUUCUUUGGAAUAAUUUCUUUAAAAUAUAUGCAUAUAUAUGUAUAUAAAUGACUUAAUGCUGUGCAUUUUAGGCUGCAAAAGUUAGUUGGUUCUGAGCAUGGAAAACAUGUUGUUUUUCGUGGGGAAAGAAAGAGAGAUCAGAUUGUUAUUGUGUCUGUGUAGAAAGAAGUAGACAUAGGAGACUCCAUUUUGUUCUGUACUAAGAAAAAUUCUUCUGCCUUGAGAUGCUGUUAAUCUAUAACCUUACCCCCAACCCCGUGCUCUCUGAAACAUGUGCUGUGUCAAAUUCAGAGUUAAAUGGAUUAAGGGCUAUGCAAGAUGUGCUUUGUUAAACAGAUGCUUCAAGGCAGCAUGCUCCUUAAGAGUCAUCACCACUCCCUAAUCUCAAGUACCCAGGGACACAAAAACUGCAGAAGGCCGCAGGGACCUCUGCCUAGGAAAGCCAGAGACCUUUGUUCACGUGUUUAUCUGCUGACCUUCUCUCCACUAUUAUCCUGUGACCCUGACACAACCCCCUCUCUGAGAAACACCCAAGAAUGAUCAAUAAAUACUAAGGGAACUCAGAGGCUGGCGGGAUCCUCCAUAUGCUGAACGCUGGUCCCCUGGGCCCCCUUAUUUC